AACAGGAUUAGAUACCCUGGUAGUCCACGCCCUAAACGAUGUCAACUAGGUGUUGGGUGGGUAAAACCAUUUAGUACCGGAGCUAACGCGUGAAGUUGACCGCCUGGGGAGUACGGCCGCAAGGUUAAAACUCAAAGGAAUUGACGGGGACCCGCACAAGCGGUGGAUGAUGUGGAUUAAUUCGAUGCAACGCGAAAAACCUUACCUACCCUUGACAUGUCCAGAAGCUCUUAGAGAUUUGAGUGUGCCCGAAAGGGAACUGGAACACAGGUGCUGCAUGGCUGUCGUCAGCUCGUGUCGUGAGAUGUUGGGUUAAGUCCCGCAACGAGCGCAACCCUUGUCGUUAAUUGCCAUCAUUCAGUUGGGCACUUUAACGAGACUGUCGGUGACAAACCGGAGGAAGGUGGGGAUGACGUCAAGUCCUCAUGGCCCUUAUAGGUGGGGCUACACACGUCAUACAAUGGCUGGU
RNAcentral lists this ribosomal RNA (469 nucleotides) under uncultured bacterium. RNAcentral describes it as "bacterial SSU rRNA". It matches the Rfam family "Bacterial small subunit ribosomal RNA", at positions 771 to 1238 of the family's 1533-position model. The record is from RNAcentral.